UUGCCCCAGCGAUUGAAGAACUGUCUAGGCUGUGUGGUAAAAGGCACUUACAAAAUAAGUUACCAAGCGGUGUAACUUUCAUAUUAGAAACCCUUGGGCCUACCACUUUCAAAAGAACCUGCACAGAACCAUGGCUGUCUCGCGCACGUAGAGGUGAAGGGUGAUGGUGGGGAAGGGCCUGGAGCAGUGGUGGGGAUAAGUCGUUGGGGCGAGGUGUCUUUCCCCCCACUCUGACUCUCCUGCAUGCACGACUCAAACAGAGUCAUUGAUUGAGGUGCUGGUGAACUGAUUGAAGACUUAAACAUGUUUUGUUAUUAGUGUGAGGUGUAAUAGUACGGACUGUUGUGAUAAAUUACCACUGUUUAUGAUUUACUUUAUAUGUUUUUAAAAUAAAUGUUCUAC
Macrosteles quadrilineatus (aster leafhopper) is the source of this 402-nucleotide long non-coding RNA. RefSeq lists it as uncharacterized. The record is from RefSeq and is a predicted model, not a curated record. The transcript is spliced from 3 exons. NCBI's taxonomy places the organism in Eukaryota, Metazoa, Arthropoda, Insecta, Hemiptera, Cicadellidae.